RNAcentral lists this ribosomal RNA (955 nucleotides) under uncultured Bacteroidota bacterium. RNAcentral's name for it is "bacterial SSU rRNA". It matches the Rfam family "Bacterial small subunit ribosomal RNA", at positions 529 to 1501 of the family's 1533-position model. Lineage: Bacteria; Pseudomonadati; Bacteroidota. The record is from RNAcentral.
AGGGUGCAAGCGUUAUCCGGAAUCAUUGGGUUUAAAGGGUCCGUAGGCGGACUGAUAAGUCAGGGGUGAAAUCCAACAGCUUAACUGUUGAACUGCCCUUGAUACUGUUAGUCUUGAAUUAUAUGGAAGUANAUAGAAUGUAUAGUGUAGCGGUGAAAUGCUUAGAGAUUACACAGAAUACCGAUUGCGAAGGCAGUCUACUACGUAUAUAUUGACGCUAAUGGACGAAAGCGUGGGGAGCGAACAGGAUUAGAUACCCUGGUAGUCCACGCCGUAAACGAUGGACACUAGUUGUUGGAUUUAUUCAGUGACUAAGCGAAAGUGAUAAGUGUCCCACCUGGGGAGUACGAUCGUAAGAUGGAAACUCAAAGGAAUUGACGGGGGCCCGCACAAGCGGUGGAGCCUGUGGUUUAAUUCGAUGAUACGCGAGGAACCUUACCAGGGCUUAAAUGUAGGUUGCAUUAGGUAGAGAUACUUAUUUNUUCGGACUACUUACAAGGUGCCGCAUGGUUGUCGUCAGCUCGUGCCGUGAGGUGUCUGGUUAGGUCCUAUAACGAGCGCAACCCUUUCGUAAGUUGCCAGCCAAGUAAAGUNGGGGGANUUUAANUGAGAUGCCGGUGCAAACCGAGAGGAAGGUGGGGAUGACGUCAAUUCAUCACGGCCCUUACGUCUUGGGCUACACACGUGNUACAAUGGUAUGGACAGAGAGCAGCCACUGGGUGACCAGGAGCGNAUCUACAAACCAUAUCACAGUUCGGAUCGGAGUNUGCAACUCGACUCCGUGAAGCUGGAAUCGUUAGUAAUCGCAUAUCAGCCAUGAUGCGGUGAAUACGUUCCCGGGCCUUGUACACACCGCCCGUCAAGCCAUGGAAGCUGGGAGUACNUGAAGUCGGUCACCGCAAGGAGCCGCCUAGGGUAAAACUAGUAACUAGGGNUAAGUCGUAACAAGGUAACC